CAGCCGCCGCGGUAAUACGGAGGGUGCAAGCGUUAAUCGGAAUUACUGGGCGUAAAGCGUACGUAGGCGGCUUUGUAAGUUAGAGGUGAAAGCCUGGUGCUCAACACCAGAACUGCCUUUAAGACUGCAUCGCUUGAACGUCGGAGAGGUGAGUGGAAUUCCGAGCGUAGAGGUGAAAUUCGUAGAUAUUCGGAAGAACACCAGUGGCGAAGGCGGCUCACUGGACGCGUAUUGACGCUGAGGUACGAAAGCGUGGGGAGCAAACAGGAUUAGAUACCCCCGUAGUCCCUGUCUCUUAUAC
This 301-nucleotide ribosomal RNA is filed under the name uncultured bacterium. RNAcentral's name for it is "partial 16S ribosomal RNA". It matches the Rfam family "Bacterial small subunit ribosomal RNA", at positions 509 to 807 of the family's 1533-position model. The record is from RNAcentral.